Molecule: ribosomal RNA, 925 nt
Filed under: uncultured Xiphinematobacteriaceae bacterium
Lineage: Bacteria; Pseudomonadati; Verrucomicrobiota; Spartobacteria
Description: bacterial SSU rRNA
Rfam family: Bacterial small subunit ribosomal RNA
Source: RNAcentral
UGCAAGUCGAACGGGAUUAUUUUUGUAGCAAUACAGAAAUAAUUCAGUGGCGAACGGGUGCGUAACACGUGGGCAAUCUGCCGAAAAGUGGGGGAUAGCUCGCCGAAAGGCGAAUUAAUACCGCAUGUGGUGAGGGACGACAUCUUCCUGAAUCCAAAGCCGGGGCAACCUGGCGCUUUUUGAGGAGCCCGCGGCCUAUCAGCUAGUUGGUGAGGUAACGGCUCACCAAGGCUUUGACGGGUAGCUGGUCUGAGAGGACGACCAGUCACACUGGAACUGAGACACGGUCCAGACACCUACGGGUGGCAGCAGUCGAGAAUUUUUCUCAAUGGGGGAAACCCUGAAGGAGCGACGCCGCGUGGAGGAUGAAGGCUUUCGGGUUGUAAACGCCUGUCAUUUGAGAACAAGGUGCGAGAAUUAACUGUCCUCGCAUUGAUAGUAUCAGAAGAGGAAGGGACGGCUAACUCUGUGCCAGCAGCCGCGGUAAUACAGAGGUCCCAAGCGUUGUUCGGAUUCAUUGGGCGUAAAGGGUGCGUAGGUGGCGCCGUAAGUCGGGUGUGAAAUUUCGGAGCUUAACUCCGAAACUGCAUUCGAUACUGCGGUGCUUGAGGACUGGAGAGGAGACUGGAAUUCAUGGUGUAGCAGUGAAAUGCGUAGAGAUCAUGAGGAAGACCAGUGGCGAAGGCGGGUCUCUGGACAGUUCCUGACACUGAGGCACGAAGGCCAGGGGAGCAAACGGGAUUAGAUACCCCGGUAGUCCUGGCAGUAAACGGUGCACGUUUGGUGUGGGAGGAUUCGACCCCUUCCGCGCCGGAGCUAACGCGUUAAACGUGCCGCCUGGGGAGUACGGUCGCAAGAUUAAAACUCAAAGAAAUUGACGGGGGCCCGCACAAGCGGUGGAGUAUGUGGCUUAAUUCGAUGCAAC